Molecule: small RNA, 169 nt
Filed under: Streptomyces niveus
Lineage: Bacteria; Bacillati; Actinomycetota; Actinomycetes; Kitasatosporales; Streptomycetaceae
Description: c-di-AMP sequence
Rfam family: c-di-AMP riboswitch aptamer (ydaO/yuaA leader)
About the family: This family represents a conserved RNA structure found upstream of the ydaO and yuaA genes in Bacillus subtilis and related genes in other bacteria. The ydaO/yuaA element is thought to act as a genetic "off" switch for the ydaO and yuaA genes in its native state.
Source: RNAcentral
GGACAGCCAUCGCCGAGUCCCCGUCAGGCGCGAGCCUGGGGAGCCGGGGACCCAGUCUCGUGUCCCUGGGGUGAAUCGGGAGCCUUCGCGUGAUCCGCGGAGGAACCCGUAGGAGACCUUCCUGCUCCGAACCCGUCAGCUAACCCGGUAGGCGAGAAGGAAGGAAAGG